UCUCUGGUGGUCCAGGGGCUAAGACUCUGCGCUCCCAGUGCAGAGGGUCUGAGUUCGAUCCCUGGUCAGAGAA
RNAcentral lists this transfer RNA (73 nucleotides) under Ovis aries (sheep). It matches the Rfam family "tRNA". From Rfam's summary of the family: Transfer RNA (tRNA) molecules are approximately 80 nucleotides in length. Their secondary structure includes four short double-helical elements and three loops (D, anti-codon, and T loops). The record is from Rfam by way of RNAcentral. Lineage: Eukaryota; Metazoa; Chordata; Mammalia; Artiodactyla; Bovidae.